This 345-nucleotide unclassified non-coding RNA is filed under the name Hevea brasiliensis (rubber tree). Lineage: Eukaryota; Viridiplantae; Streptophyta; Magnoliopsida; Malpighiales; Euphorbiaceae. The record is from RNAcentral.
UCGAACGCAUAUCUCAAACUCAUACAUUACUCAUGGCAACUAUCAAAUCCAUCAAGGCUCGUCAGAUCUUCGAUAGCCGUGGUAAUCCAACGGUUGAGGUUGAUGUUUAUCUGUCAAAUGGCCUCUGGGAGAGAGCUGCAGUUCCUAGCGGCGCAUCUACAGGAAUAUAUGAAGCCCUUGAAUUGAGAGAUGGAGGGUCUGAGUACCUUGGGAAAGGUGUUUCAAAGGCUGUAAACAAUGUCAACUCAAUCAUUGGCCCUGCUCUUAUUGGCAAGGACCCGACCGAUCAGACUGGUCUCGAUAACUACAUGGUUCAUCAACUAGAUGGAACUCAAAAUGAGUGGG